Non-coding RNA from Bos taurus (domestic cattle), 72 nucleotides. Lineage: Eukaryota; Metazoa; Chordata; Mammalia; Artiodactyla; Bovidae. The record is from Rfam.
UCCCUGGUGGCUCAGACGGUAAAGCGUCUGCCUAGAAUGCGGAAGACCCAGGUUCAAUCCCUGGGUGUGGAA